GACGAACUGUGCGAACGUUAUUCGGAAUCACUGGGCUUAAAGAGCGCGUAGGCGGCAUUGUAAGUUGGAGGUGAAAUCCCACGGCUCAACCGUGGAAUAGCCCCCAAUACUGCAGUGCUUGAGGAAGGUAGGGGUUUGUGGAACUUCCGGUGGAGCGGUGAAAUGUGUUGAGAUCGGAAGGAACGCCGGCGGCGAAAGCGACAAACUGGAUCUUCUCUGACGCUGAGGCGCGAAAGCUAGGGGAGCGAACGGG
This 253-nucleotide unclassified non-coding RNA is filed under the name uncultured Planctomycetia bacterium. RNAcentral's name for it is "contains 16S-23S intergenic spacer region". It matches the Rfam family "Bacterial small subunit ribosomal RNA", at positions 524 to 776 of the family's 1533-position model. The record is from RNAcentral. Lineage: Bacteria; Pseudomonadati; Planctomycetota; Planctomycetia.